Molecule: ribosomal RNA, 383 nt
Filed under: uncultured eukaryote
Lineage: Eukaryota
Description: partial 18S ribosomal RNA
Rfam family: Eukaryotic small subunit ribosomal RNA
Source: RNAcentral
CAAUAGCGUAUAUUAAAGUUGUUGCAAUUAAAAAGCUCGUAGUUGGAUUUCUGGUAGGAGUGACCGUUCCGAACUUGAUUGUUCGUGUAUUGUGUUUUCUCCAGCCAUCCUUGUGGAGAACUUUUCUUGCAUUAAUUUGUAGGGAUUGGGACCCGCAUCGUUUACUGUGAAAAAAUUAGAGUGUUUAAAGCAGGCGAUCGCUUGAAUACAUUAGCAUGGAAUAAUAAGAUAGGACUUUGGUACUAUUUUGUUGGUUUGCAUACCAAAUUAAUGAUCAACAGGAACAGUUUGAGGAUAUUCGUAUGAACAUGUCAGAGGUGAAAUUCUUGGAUUUUGAUCAGACGAACUACUGCGAAAGCAUUUAUCAAGGAUGUUUUCAUUAA